AAAACACACAAAAAAACACUUAAUUUAUUUUCGCGACAGAGGAAAAAAACGCAAAAGCUAAAAACUACUACCCUCUUCCCCCACGAUCUCCACUUCACCUUAAUUCGAUCAGUUAUGGAACACCAAGCUGAUUUCUUUCAAAAACCUCUCAAUCUCUUCCUUUUCUCAUCCAUGUUUCUCUUUCCUUUAAUCGGGUUCAUAAUCGAUACUUCAUUCUCCGGUUUCCUCCAACUUUUCCGGUUUACAUGGUUGGCGGUUCCAGCACCACAACACCGGACUACAAUGACACUUCUCCCUUCCUCUGUCUUCCAAUCUUCGUUUCUUCUACAAGUUCUUUAGUUUGCUACUGAAGUUUCAAGGAAUUUUGGGUGUUUUAUGUCAUUUAUGUAGUUGUAUAGUAAAUUUGGAACAUGGAUAGGUUUUCUUCUGACAUUUAAGCCUCGGGUUAGAGUGUGAAUGAUUCAUCUCUCUUAGUUUGGUUUGAGAUUGACAUGUAAGCUUACAAGGUUUGAUUCUGAGGCUGAAUGGUCGUGUUUGCAGGGUAUUGAUUUGAUCGCUGAAGGUAAUAGAAAAAAGACCAAAAGGACAGCUCCAAAGUGAGAUGAUGUCUACCCUAAGCUUAUUGUCAAGGUUACAAAUUCAGCAACGAUCUCUCUCCUUUGUUUUUGUUUCCCUUAUUUAAAGUGGCUUUUAAUUGGGUGAGUCUUAGUGAGUAUAAGAUUUAUUUUGAAGUUUUGUAGCUUUACCGUUUUCUGGUAAGGAGAACUCAGAGCAAGUUCAAUUUUGUGUGAUAUUGAAGAGGCUUUUCUCUAUCUAAGCUUGUGGAAUGCGUGACUGGCAAGUCGGUGGAUGAUUUAACUCUGUUGGAGAUGGAGAGCAUGAGGUCAGUCGACGCCGAUGAGACUGAGAAUCAGAUUAGAAGAUAAAAAUUGAUUGUUUGAUGAAAGAAGACAAAAAAAUUAUUGCCGACAAAAAAAAAAAAAAAAAAAANGAAG
Molecule: non-coding RNA, 995 nt
Organism: Camelina sativa (false flax)
Lineage: Eukaryota; Viridiplantae; Streptophyta; Magnoliopsida; Brassicales; Brassicaceae
Source: RefSeq, a predicted model, not a curated record